This 798-nucleotide unclassified non-coding RNA is filed under the name Hevea brasiliensis (rubber tree). The record is from RNAcentral. Lineage: Eukaryota; Viridiplantae; Streptophyta; Magnoliopsida; Malpighiales; Euphorbiaceae.
AGGGAAAAGGCGUAAAAAAACAAAUUAGAAAUGCAAUUAAUGUGUAUUUGAAAUAACGCAAACACAUGUAGCACCACCAAAUUUGAGAAUAACUGUGAGUAGAAUCAUCUUGACAGGGAAGUCAAAAACACGAGCUGCAUCAAGCAAUUCACUAUAAAUUUUGCAUUUUUAGCAAGGAGGUGCAAGAGCAUGUCCCAUAAAAUAUUGAAUCUAUUCAUUGAAUUAAUAAUUCAAAGCAAUGAACCACUAAAUACCUAAGGUCCAGAUGAGUUUGCAUGUUUGCGUCCCCUUCAGACUAACACAUUGAUGAAACGUAAGACAAAUUAUCAACACAAGAUGCUUUGGGCUUCCUACAGAAACAAUAUGGUCAAACAGCUCAAGAUUUCACUAUCACUAUUUCGACCACUAAGAAUGUAGAAAGCGAUAACAGACAAAGCACAAAAAACUAAGCUUUCAAAGGCCAAAGAUCACAACAUUACGUUCCCACUUGGCCACUUCCCAGAAAAACCCAAAAUUUACUACUUUCAGCAAGAAAACAUCACAUGCACUGUCACCAAACGCUAUUUCUGUACCAGCAACAAGCCCAUUCUAUAAGAUACCCAAAAAUCCAAACUAUAAUUCAAGAUAAAGAGCGCAAUGAUCAAAUUAGCAUAAUAACAUUAAGUUAAGAUAUGAGCUAAUUGAGUACAUGAUAUUAACAUGUAAAAAAGGAGAAUUGAUAUUUCAGAGAAGAUAGAGACCGCAGAUUCUAAGGGGGAGAGAAGAAGGGCUUACCAGAGAAAAGAGGUGCAGGGAUUU